This 305-nucleotide ribosomal RNA is filed under the name uncultured bacterium. Its description in RNAcentral is "bacterial SSU rRNA". It matches the Rfam family "Bacterial small subunit ribosomal RNA", at positions 335 to 654 of the family's 1533-position model. The record is from RNAcentral.
GUUCCUACGGGAGGCAGCAGUGGGGAAUAUUGCACAAUGGGGGAAACCCUGAUGCAGCAACGCCGCGUGAAGGAAGACGGUUUUCGGAUUGUAAACUUCUUUUCUUAGUGAAGAAGCAAGUGACGGUAGCUAAGGAAUAAGCAUCGGCUAACUACGCGCCAGCAGCCGCGGUAAUACGUAGGAUGCGAGCGUUAUCCGGAAUUACUGGGUGUAAAGGGAGCGCAGGCGGGAAGCCAAGUCAGCUGUGAAAACUACGGGCUUAACUUGUAGACUGCAGUUGAAACUGGUUUUCUUGAGUGAAGUAG